Molecule: non-coding RNA, 72 nt
Organism: Arabis alpina (gray rockcress)
Lineage: Eukaryota; Viridiplantae; Streptophyta; Magnoliopsida; Brassicales; Brassicaceae
Source: Rfam
GCGCAUCUGGUGUAGUGGUUACAUAGUACCCUUUCAUGGGUACUGACCAAAGUUCGAUUCCCUGGAUCCGCA